UAACAUGAGUGGCGCGUGCUGAAAACACUUGUGAAUCAGAAAAUGCUUUCUGUAAGAAAAACUUAUCACGUACAGGUUCAGAACGUCGUAAAAGCUCUCACCAGACAUGUGGAGACAUCGCCUAAAUGUGGAAACCACAAAUAAAAAUUUUGUGGCAGCAAUAUUAUGCAACGGCACACACUAGUAAGUGCAGCGUAUGCCCUACUUUUGGGACAAGCCGCUGCAUGACACUGCAUUUCCGCUGGCUUCAUCUACGCCUGGCUCUGUGGGCAGCGAAGCAGCAUCCAGCAAAACAUAGUAGAGAUCAGUGGUGCACAUAGUAUUUUAUGUCCCCUUUCUCGAUGCCAGCUGAACACACGGUAACUGUUUCCAAAGCAGAAAAACUAAGGGCAAGGUCUCUGUACACAUGGCAUUGUAAAGUGGCUGAUGCUUGGGCAAAGCAAAUACUGUGCAUGGUAGAUUUGUAUGAGGCAAGCUAACGUCAAAAAGCCUGCUGGAUACUACCAAAUGACCAACAUAUUGUUGCAUGUUGAAAUUCUUUUUUUAUUCCUCAUCACUCAUUUGUGUAGGGGAGACGGCUCUCACAACUGGAGAAGCCUGGGAAGCAUGCAGUACUCCACAAAACCGGUUUCAACGUAAAAUGUGUCUGCAUCUCAUAAUUUCAUGGCUGCAAGAGUGAGCCCAAUGGUAAACACGCCUGUCGAGACAAGGUUUCUUUACAUGGCCAUGGCGCUCAAGGAAGAAACCGAGACUGCAGACUGCCAACGUUCAUUCCUGUUCCGGCAAAGACGGGCCAGCAGUAACCAGCAGGGUUUUACAAAGUGAACUCAUCACAGCUUGAGCCACUCCAUGUCACAAGCAGUUGCUCUUCGAGCCACCGUGCAAAGGUUCCUUGGGGCACAAGUCCAACUCAGCGCCACCACCUUUCUUCUGCAGUUUUUCUACCUACUUAGCUAACCAGCAGCAAGUUUAUCCUUGCAAGGCAUGUGGGAACAGCUUUCACCAGGAAACAGUGCAAGACGAGUGGUCGAAGAAAAUAAAAUUGCUUCUGUGAUCUAAAGUACUUGACGAAUAAAAUUUUGCACUUAUUUGUAUAUAUGUCGUGCAAUUCAUUCAUAUCACAAAAGGCAAAGUGUUUGAUCUUUUGAGCUAUUUCAAUGUGUUGGCCAGACAGUUUUCUCCAUAGCGACCUGCUGCUUCUGCGAUGAGCUGCAUUCAUGACAUUUGCAUUAAAGGAUAUGUACUAUCGGGGACAAAAGUGCCCAGGACUGUGCGAGUGUCGACCAAAUUGCAUCUCUGCACUAUCAGCCGCUAUCAUCUGCGUUGCAGACCACUUUCCGAAUGCAAAUGUUAGCGUGGCUGAUCCCAGCAGAAAGUGCACCAAUAAAAUUCGGUCGACAU
Long non-coding RNA from Dermacentor silvarum, 1401 nucleotides. RefSeq lists it as uncharacterized. The record is from RefSeq and is a predicted model, not a curated record. The transcript has 3 exons. Lineage: Eukaryota; Metazoa; Arthropoda; Arachnida; Ixodida; Ixodidae.